Molecule: ribosomal RNA, 382 nt
Filed under: uncultured bacterium
Lineage: Bacteria
Description: bacterial SSU rRNA
Rfam family: Bacterial small subunit ribosomal RNA
Source: RNAcentral
AUUGAACGCUGGCGGCAUGCUUUACACAUGCAAGUCGAACGGCAGCACGGGGGCAACCCUGGUGGCGAGUGGCGAACGGGUGAGUAACACAUCGGAACGUGUCCAGUUGUGGGGGAUAACCCAUCGAAAGGUGGGCUAAUACCGCAUGAGCUGGCGACAGGAAAGCAGGGGACCCGCAAGGGCCUUGUGCGAUUGGAGCGGCCGAUGUCCGAUUAGCUAGUUGGUGGGGAAAGGCCUACCAAGGCUUCGAUCGGUAGCUGGUCUGAGAGGAUGAUCAGCCACACUGGGACUGAGACACGGCCCAGACUCCUACGGGAGGCAGCAGUGGGGAAUUUGGACAAUGGGGGCAACCCUGAUCCAGCCAUGCCGCGUGAGUGAAGAA